This 863-nucleotide small RNA is filed under the name Pan troglodytes (chimpanzee). Its description in RNAcentral is "processed transcript". The record is from RNAcentral. Lineage: Eukaryota; Metazoa; Chordata; Mammalia; Primates; Hominidae.
CUCGGCAAGGGCCCUCGAUUUCUGCCCCUACAUCCUCAGACCAGACCGCCCCCUCAAGCCCUCAAGUCUCCCAUAUUCCGGCGGACGCCCUGUACCUUUUCCAGCGACCCACAUUCUCCCUCCGGCUGCCCCAGGAUUGCGCACUUGUCUCUGCGGAACAAUAACAUCGACGACCGCGGGGCGCAACUCCUGGGCCAGGCGCUGUCCACGCUGCACAGCUGCAACCGCACCCUUGUCUCGCUCAACCUGGGUUUCAACCACAUCGGGGACGAGGGCGCAGGCUACAUCGCGGACGUGCGUGCACGGCGGGGAGGGACCUGAUGGGAGCAGGGGCGGCUUGGGCGGCUCACGCGUCCCUGCCUGCCUCUUAGGGCCUCCGGCUGAACCGUUCCCUGCUCUGGCUGUCCCUGGCCCACAACCGCAUCCAGGACAAGGGCGCCCUGAAGCUGGCUGAGGUCCUGCGCGCCUUCGAGCUGACACACACCGAAGUGGUGGAGCGCCGACGCCUCCUGCUGGAAAAAGGGACACAGGAGCGCUCGCGAUCGAGGUAACCAUCCCUGAACAGAAGCCAAGCAGGGCAAAAGGGAUCAAGAUCGGGAGCAGAGAGAAGCGCAGCAUCCUCCUGGAGUCCGAGAAAAAUUGCUUCGCCCCACAAUGUCCUGCGUACGCCAUAAUCCAGGAGCUGAUGUUGCCAAGGGAUCCCAUCAAGGCCAAACUCAGGGAGGAUGAGGCCAUGGCAUUCUUCCCCUAGCCCCCUCCCACCUGCUUGCCUCUAAGACUCGGGGCUACAGAAGCACCUCCUGUCCCUGUGUGGGGUGACCUCCCUGGGGGAGAUCUCAGACCAAUAACAAAGUCUCUAUACU